GUACGGGUAGUAACACGUGGAUAUCCACCUCUUAGUGGGGAAUAACUUUGGGAAACCGAAGCUAAUACCGCAUAAGCCUGAGAAGGGAAAGCAGCAAUGCGCUGAGAGAGGAGUCCGCGGCCGAUUAGCUAGUUGGUAGGGUAAAAGCCUACCAAGGCGAUUGAUCGGUAGCCGGCCUUGAGAGGGCACACGGCCACACUGGCACUAGAAACACGGGCCAGACUCCUACGGGAGGCAGCAGUGGGGAAUCUUGCACAAUGGGGGAAACCCUGAUGCAGCGACGCCGGUGAGCGAUGAAGCCCUUCGGGGUGUAAGCUCUUUCGGCAGGAACGAUAAUGACGGUACCCUGAAGAAGAAGCUGGGUAACUACGUGCCAGCAGCCGGGUAAAUACGUAGGCAGC
RNAcentral lists this ribosomal RNA (401 nucleotides) under uncultured bacterium. RNAcentral describes it as "bacterial SSU rRNA". It matches the Rfam family "Bacterial small subunit ribosomal RNA", at positions 100 to 535 of the family's 1533-position model. The record is from RNAcentral.